Molecule: ribosomal RNA, 254 nt
Filed under: uncultured bacterium
Lineage: Bacteria
Description: partial 16S ribosomal RNA
Rfam family: Bacterial small subunit ribosomal RNA
Source: RNAcentral
CACGUAGGGGGCAAGCGUUGUCCGGAAUCAUUGGGCGUAAAGAGCUCGUAGGCGGCUCAGUAAGUCGGGUGUGAAACCCUCAGGCUCAACCUGGGGACGCCACCCGAUACUGCUGUGGCUAGAGUCCAGUAGGGGAGUGUGGAAUUCCCGGUGUAGCGGUGAAAUGCGCAGAUAUCGGGAGGAACACCAGCGGCGAAGGCGGCACUCUGGGCUGGUACUGACGCUGAGGAGCGAAAGCGUGGGCAGCAAACAGG